RNAcentral lists this ribosomal RNA (460 nucleotides) under uncultured bacterium. RNAcentral's name for it is "partial 16S ribosomal RNA". It matches the Rfam family "Bacterial small subunit ribosomal RNA", at positions 338 to 795 of the family's 1533-position model. The record is from RNAcentral.
CCUACGGGCGGCUGCAGUGAGGAAUAUUGGUCAAUGGGCGGGAGCCUGAACCAGCCAAGUCGCGUGAGGGAAGACGGUCCUAUGGAUUGUAAACCUCUUUAGGCGGGGAGCAAUGCCGGGCACGUGUGCCCGGAGGGAGAGUACCCGCAGAAUAAGCAUCGGCUAACUCCGUGCCAGCAGCCGCGGUAAUACGGAGGAUGCGAGCGUUAGCCGGAUUUAGUGGGGUUAAAGGGUGCGUAGGCGGAUUUUUAAGUCAGCGGUAAAAUGUCCGGGCUCAACCCGGGCCGGCCGUUGAAACUGGGGAUCUUGAGUGGGCGAGAAGUAUGCGGAAUGCGUGGUGUAGCGGUGAAAUGCAUAGAUAUCACGCAGAACUCCGAUUGCGAAGGCAGCAUACCGGCGCCCGACUGACGCUGAGGCACGAAAGCGUGGGGAUCGAACAGGAUUAGAUACCCGAGUAGUC